AACCAUUUAUUAAAGACUCAUAAGAUUCAACAUAGUAUGAUAUUACAAACAGGGGUCUCGUGACCCGACACUCAAGUCAUACAAACAACAAGAGGAAGCAAAUCAUGUCUGGGUACAGACAUCUACUAAAAGUGGCUGGAAGAGCUUGAAAAGCUACUACGACCCUACCAAAGGAGCCAGACCUCUGUCUGGGAUUCCCAAGCUAUUCCGGUCAACAUCGAACACAUCGCGUAGAACCUUUAAAUGAGUCUAAGUCUUCUCUGCAAAAACAUAAAUAAAGCAACCGUGAGUACAAAGGUACUUAGCAAGUCUUACAUCAAAACUAUCUGCAUACGCAUAAUGUUUCAAUGGAAGGAUUGUGGGGUUUGAUUGCAGCAAGCCAGCUUUGACUCUUGGCUAACCUGUACUACGACUACAAGUUCUUUCUUUGAGGUGGGAUAGCGCACAUGAGUCCACAUAUUCACCAAUUCAAUACACCACUAAGGAUCCACUCUCGUCUCCCUACGAGAAGGCCUUCCAUAGCACUCACACUUAUCUUGCAUGUUUUUGAGUAUCCAUUUAAAUUGUCUAUGUACCACGAAAUGUUUCCAAGUAGUCCAUAUCCAAGGACGCGGCUAUUCGAACAGAUUAAAUCACCCUGCAGGGGUAUACUUCUUCACACACGCUCCCACCACUUAUCACCAUGUGCACGUCAUGCAUCUCGGCAACCUUCAAGCGGAAGCACUGGCGUGGGUGUCGGCCAUGACCGUUAACCACACAAGACCCUAGUCCAGGUUUAUCGCCUAUUUGAGCCUGAACCCGCAAGGAAGUCCGGCCGAGGUUUCCUCUACGGCCCGAAACGAUGUGCGCAGGGUUCCCAAGCCCACCAUCCGGGUGCCACUAGGUACACCGUGCCACUGUGUAUCUACCACAGAGAAGCCUACCACGUCGGGUAGAGCUAAACACAGCCGCCAACACUUUUCCUACGAACACCAGAAACUAGUUGCAACUCCUGGACAAAGAUCUAGGCGAUUAAUAAGCCAAGAGGGUCGAUUAAGUAUCCCAAUGUGUGGUAGUAUCUUGUCUUGGAUAACAUACACAGACCUCAGUUCUUAGGGACGGUCCCAAUGAGACAACCCACCAUGUACUCCUACAUGGCAUCUCAUCGCUACCUUUANUUGGUUGACAUUUUUAUUUCAGUCCAAUAUUUUAUUGGAAAAUCAGGGACAUUUCCUUGAAUCAAUUUGAAGCAAUAUUUAUGUUGCUUGUUUGACAAAAAAUUAAAUGAUGAGGCUUGAUCACUCCUCAUUUCAUUUCCAGAAGAAAAAAAACAGGAAUGCAUGCAUGAGAUGCAAAGACAAACAAUUCUAGGUCUGGGGCUGUGACAGUGUUGUUUUUGGGCAGAAAUAAAGUUCUCAGAAUGAUCUAAAAAUUUACGAAGAAUUUUUGUGGAAUAUAUUAAAAAUACUGGCGCAAGAAUCAGCGGAGGAAGUGGAGCGUAGAGCCCACAAGCCCGAGGAUAUUUUCCGGGUCUCUGGCUACUACCGAAAAGGUGAAAACGAUGGGAAAGUUCUAUGUUCAUUAUGCUAGGGACGCGUGACACACGAACGGAUAACGUAAUCGGAUUCGUUUCAUUUUUUGACCACCUUUCAUGUACAAAAUACUUUCAUCCAGGUUUCGAAUUAUUUUAUAUUAAUUUUUAAAGUUUGAUUAUUAUACUAAAAUUAAACAGAUUUAAUUUAAAUAGGAAUUGCAACUAUGACAUCAGCAUGGCAUAAUGCUGACAUGAGCCAUCACAAAGGUUUGACUCGUCAAACUAACAAGUGGGACCCAUGUGUCAUCGACACAAGGCUAACCAAUGUUUAUUCUUAAUUAAAACAAAUUAAUUUAGCAGGGGGGCCCGCAUGUUAGUGUCCCAUUAGAGAAAUUAAUUUAUUUUAAUUAAUCUAACUCGUGCAAUUAGUGCUAAUGGACCUGGGCCCACAUGGCAUACUCUUUUUACCAAACAUAGUGAUUCAUUAACCUAGUUAAGUUUAGUUAAGUUAACUAACUAAUUAAUUAAUUAACUAUGUAAUUAAUUAUAAAAAGUAUUUGUUUAUUUUUAUUAUUCCUCUUUUUUUAAAACGUUCUAUAGGGGAGCAAUUUGUCAUAGUGUGAGGGGGGUUAGUGAAAGAGGGGGAUUAGCCCCUAAUUAAGCUAGGCCGACCCCACUAGCACGGAGCCAACCAACUAGCACGGGCUAGCAUGCGUGAACAUGCGGAGACAAAGACAUGGCCAUGGCCCGAUGGCGACGACACCGGUGAACGGCGUGGCCGGGGGGGCACGGUGCAGCCAGCACGCGUGGGCGUAUGCGGACGUGGCACGACCGCGGUCAUACGAGCAGGACGGACCGUGGGCAGCCAGGGAGGGACCACACCGGAGUGGGUUGCACGGGAGCACGCGGCGGGCGCAGUGAGCGUGCGAUGACGGGGUGGCUACGAGGCCUCAGGUGUAGCGACGCGGGGCGGGGCGCGGUAGUGCACGGCGUGCGGGCGGGCUCGUAGCAUGGGCGAUGGCAGUGGGGCACGGCAUGGACAGCAGGAGGGGCGCAGCGGCGCCGGUGGGUUGCACGUGGCGGCGAGCAGGGCCUAGGCACUACCGGGUGCGUCGGCCGGAGGGAGGGGUGGCAUGUGAGGUGGAAAAAUGGGGGUGCCUCAUCGUCGUUGGUGAGUAGAGGGGCGGGAUGGCGGCGUCGUCGGUAGGAUGGCAUCGGGGGUGGUCGGAGGGGCGAGCUGCAUGCGGAAGCGAGGUGGCGGCGUCGGGGGUCCGCCCGAUCCCGAUCUGGAUCAGGAGAGGUGAGAGAGUGGUGGGGNNNNNNNNNNNNNNNNNNNNNNNNNNNNNNNNNNNNNNNNNNNNNNNNNNNNNNNNNNNNNNNNNNNNNNNNNNNNNNNNNNNNNNNNNNNNNNNNNNNNNNNNNNNNNNNNNNNNNNNNNNNNNNNNNNNNNNNNNNNNNNNNNNNGGCCGAGUGAGGGGAGGGAGUGGGGAGAGUGGGGUGGUGGUGCCCUAGUAGGUGGCGAGGGUGGGCCGACCCCUUUAUGUGGCAGAAUGGGCCUAGGCCCAGCUGGGCCGACCCAUUUAUGUGGCAAAAUAGGCCUAGGCCCAGCUGGCCGGCCAGGGUGGUUGUUUCAUUUUUAUUUUUAUCUCUUUAUUUUUUUAGAAAAUCCUUUUAUACAUUUGUGUUUUAUUUAAUUUUAGUGCCAAAAAAACUUUUAUAAAAUAGGUGACUUAGUCCAAUAUUUGUUAGGCAAUAUUUGGUACCGUCACAAAUUGUUUGGGAGCCAUUUAAAAAGGUUAGAAAUAUUCAUAAUUCAAAAGGAAUUUAAAUAAUAGUUUUGGCCUAUGUUUUAAUUUUAUUAAGGCAUUAAAUGACUUUAUAAAAAAAUGUGGUUCAUCACCAUAAUUACUUACAUAUUAUUUGUAAAAUUAUGAACAUUUUUGUCUUUAUGUUUGAAAAAUAAUAAUUUGACUUCAUUUUUAUUUUGAAAUUGCCUUUGAUUUUUAACAAGUAGCAAUUUGGCUUAGCUAAUCUUGAUGUCCUGACAUCAUUAGCGUGUGAAUACCGUAGCUUGAUUAGAGGGGUUACUCUAGCCUAAUCCGGGAAUGUUACACUAUUUUCUUGAGAGAAGCACUAGUGAAAUCUACGACCCAGGGGUCUAUUCAAUCAUCAUAUACUUUCAGAUCCAUAUUGCUAUUUGCCUUUUCCUUUAUUUGCAACAUUUAUUUUCAGAUCUAUAUUAUGAAAAACACAAAAAUACCUUGUUGCACUUUUUUGUUACUUCUUUUAUUUCGUCUUUACGAGAGAUCUAUUUAUCCAAACUAUCGUCAAACUAUCUAUCUUACGUCACGUUGCAAGUGUUUGUUAUUUGUGUGCAGACGCCGUCUACAUAGUGUUGCGUAAUUCUUCUAUUGGUUCGAUAACCUUGGUCUGAUCAUUGAGGGAAAUACCUACCAUUGUUGUGCUGCAUCAUCCCUUCCUCUUUGAGAAAAAUACCAACAUAGUUCAAGCGACAUCACGUUCCUUUGGUGCGUAGUGGUCUUAUUGCAGAGGAAAUAUCAAACACACCUUGCCAUCAACCAUGAUGAAGAUCCAGAGCUGCUUGUUGGCAUGAUCGACGACCCACCUGAAGAGGCAUCGUCAUCGGUACCUUCAAAAGCCUGAUGCCCUGCCAAGAAUGAACAAAAACCUUGUGCAACUCACUGAUGAGCGGGUUAUGUGCCACUUCGUCAAGCUCAUCAAUGGUCGUGUCAUCGUUGAUCCCAACUAUUAUGUGGCCAGGCUCAAGCGAGUGGUUGACAGAAAUGAUGUCCCCGACGAAGAAGAGGAAUACCAUCAUGAUAUCUUGUGGGGGCAGGUCGUGCGUGGAAUAUGUUACCAAAGGGGAGAGAUUGAGAUGGAGCGGUUCCACGGGCGUGUCAUGCGCGUGAUUGCACGUUGUCAAUAUCUACUCGAUGAGGCCCGGCAGCCCCAAGAGCCUUCUAGUAGCAUCGGG
Molecule: long non-coding RNA, 4508 nt
Filed under: Hordeum vulgare
Lineage: Eukaryota; Viridiplantae; Streptophyta; Magnoliopsida; Poales; Poaceae
Description: long non-coding RNA (HVUL_LNC019973)
Source: RNAcentral